Molecule: ribosomal RNA, 92 nt
Filed under: uncultured bacterium
Lineage: Bacteria
Description: partial 16S ribosomal RNA
Source: RNAcentral
CCCGUCACAUCACGAAAGUGAAUUGUACUAGAAGUCUGCAGGCUAACCCGCAAGGGAGGCAGCGGCCCAAGGUAUGAUCCAUGAUUGGGGUG